This 562-nucleotide ribosomal RNA is filed under the name uncultured Alphaproteobacteria bacterium. RNAcentral's name for it is "bacterial SSU rRNA". It matches the Rfam family "Bacterial small subunit ribosomal RNA", at positions 335 to 915 of the family's 1533-position model. Lineage: Bacteria; Pseudomonadati; Pseudomonadota; Alphaproteobacteria. The record is from RNAcentral.
ACUCCUACGGGAGGCAGCAGUGGGGAAUAUUGGACAAUGGGGGCAACCCUGAUCCAGCAAUGCCGCGUGAGUGAUGAAGGCCUUAGGGUUGUAAAGCUCUUUUGCCAGGGACGAUGAUGACGGUACCCGUAGAAGAAGCCCCGGCUAACUUCGUGCCAGCAGCCGCGGUAAUACGAAGGGGGCUAGCGUUGUUCGGAUUUACUGGGCGUAAAGGGCGCGUAGGCGGUGCAAUAAGUCAGGCGUGAAAGCCCCGGGCUCAACCCGGGAAUUGCGCUUGAUACUGUUGCGCUUGAAUCCAGGAGAGGAUGGCGGAAUUCCCAGUGUAGAGGUGAAAUUCGUAGAUAUUGGGAAGAACACCAGUGGCGAAGGCGGCCAUCUGGCCUGGCAUUGACGCUGAGGCGCGAAAGCGUGGGGAGCAAACAGGAUUAGAUACCCUGGUAGUCCACGCCGUAAACGAUGAGUGCUAGUUGUCGGUAUGCAUGCAUAUCGGUGACGCAGCUAACGCAUUAAGCACUCCGCCUGGGGAGUACGGUCGCAAGAUUAAAACUCAAAGGAAUUGACG